GGAAUCUUAGACAAUGGGGGCAACCCUGAUCUAGCCAUGCCGCGUGAUCGAUGAAGGCCUGAGGGUUGUAAAGAUCUUUCAGUUGGGAAGAUAAUGACGGUACCAACAGAAGAAGCCCCGGCUAACUCCGUGCCAGCAGCCGGGGUAAUACAGCGGGGGCGAGCGUUAUUCGGAAUUACUGGGCGUAAAGCGCACGUAGGCGGAUCAGAAAGUCAGAGGUGAAAUCCCAGGGCUCAACCUUGGAACUGCCUUUGAAACUUCUGGUCUUGAGGUCGAGAGAGGUGAGUGGAAUUCCGAGUGUAGAGGUGAAAUUCGUAGAUAUUCGGAGGAACACCAGUGGCGAAGGCGGCUCACUGGCUCGACACUGACGCUGAGGUGCGAAAGCGUGGGGAGCAA
Molecule: ribosomal RNA, 396 nt
Filed under: uncultured bacterium
Lineage: Bacteria
Description: bacterial SSU rRNA
Rfam family: Bacterial small subunit ribosomal RNA
Source: RNAcentral